Long non-coding RNA from Peromyscus leucopus (white-footed mouse), 1184 nucleotides. RefSeq lists it as uncharacterized. The transcript is spliced from 2 exons. NCBI's taxonomy places the organism in Eukaryota, Metazoa, Chordata, Mammalia, Rodentia, Cricetidae. The record is from RefSeq and is a predicted model, not a curated record.
AUUCCACUCAGCGCAUUUCCUGUUGACAUCUUUGCACACCAAGCUGGACGCUGCCGUCCUGCACGGACAGCAGGGAGCCGGGAGCUCUAAAGGGUCCUUGCUGAUUCCCUGAGCACAGAAAGGGUUUGACCUUUAUGGCGGCCCUCCUUCCUGCCGCUUCCCCAGAACAGAAGCCAGAAUCAGGGCAGCAGAGCAGUGGAAUUCAGCACGGAGGUAGCUGCUGUUUCUCGUGGCCUCAGUCAGCUAGACAGCACCCUGCACAAGAUGGAGGCAGAGCCCUGAUGAACCAGAAAACUGCCCAGUGAGGGACAAGGUAGGGGCCGUCCAGAAAACUUACACAGCCAGCCAGAGCCAGGGCUGGGACAAAACACAGCUGCCGAGCAAAGGGACCCAGAGUGCCUUUCUAAGGGUGCCGGGGUAUCUGUCUCUGCCGGUUCUUCCGCAGCUGGGCAGGACCCCACAAAUGUUAGAGAUCAGAUUUUGACUUUGAUUCAAUUAACAUGGGCUGAACCGCUUUCCGUGCCCAGGGGACCGUGCUGGAGGAGCUACAGAUUGGCUCUGAGUUCAGCGCGCAGACCACACCCAGGGUUGCGGAAGACGAGCUUGGCUGUGGCCCCUCUCCCAGGGCUCUUCAGUUCGGAAGCAAAGACGUGGCAAGGCGAUACAGAAACAAACCCAGAGCGCCAGGCCAUGGAAAGGCCCCUGAAUUGCUAAACCAAAGCGAGGGCUUUCUGCUAGCUCAUUCCUUCCCUCUCCUCCCUCUUUUCCUUCUCUCCUGCCCCCUGCUGGGGCUCAGAAAGUGACACCCCACAAGUGCAGGGAGGGACCUUUCCAAGACUUACCUAAAGAAAGAGGAUCCACCCGAAGGGUCCCGUUACUCCCUCCCUGUCGUUUUCCAGAGCAGCCCCCGGAGUCAUCCGCCUACCCUCCACCCUCUGCUUUGUUACAGGCUACAGUCUCUCCUCUGGUCAUGUUCAUCUCCCCUAAAAACCAUUAUUCCUUCCUCCACCAAAAUUGUCUAGGGCCCCCACUCCCCUCUCCCUAUGAACAGGGCUUUGAGGUUGCAAGCGCCUGGAUUACUUCUUGGGUAAUGUGCAGGAGCCUCGUCACCUGAACACUGCUCAGCGUUUUUCUCCUGUUUGUGUUGUCAGUUUGUUUGAUAAACUCAAAUUAUUGAAGCUUCA